Long non-coding RNA from Chrysemys picta bellii (western painted turtle), 3100 nucleotides. RefSeq lists it as uncharacterized. The record is from RefSeq and is a predicted model, not a curated record. NCBI's taxonomy places the organism in Eukaryota, Metazoa, Chordata, Testudines, Emydidae.
CUUGCUGCCCAUGCAGCAUGCAGAACCUAGGCUGUUUGGGCGUAGGGACAAGAGAUUUAUUAAAUAUCUCUUGACCCCUUGAUGUUUUUGUCAUGUGAUAUGCGAACUGAUGUUUGUUGAACUAGAGGCAAGUAUAAAUUACUAAUCAUUUGCUGUCCAAUGUACAACGAAGCUGCAUACCCUGCCUCUCUGCUCUCCUUUAUGUAAGUGGAUAUGCUAGCAUUCUUGGAUGACUGGGAAUCUGAAGCUUCUGGAAGGGAUGUGCACUGGGUAAUUACGGUGGCACUUCCAGCUAAUCCUGGGAGAGUGAACCUGGUACUGAACAAUAGCACAGGAGCUUCUGGGGGAAGGUUCGUAGGAUUGUGGGGAAUACAGAGCUGACAAUAACUAAAAAGGUUUAUUCCUGGAAUGAGCUGACGUACAUCAUCCGUUGCAUCUUCAAUGUGUGCUCCAUCAUGCUGCUCUCUUCAGGGUGCUGGACACAGGAGAUGAACCAUUCUGCAUCUGUACUGAUUGACAGAGUGGCAGCAUUCCACAAAGCUUUCUGAAACAAGAAGGUGAAUUGGCUUUGUUCCUUCCAUGAGCGUCAAACAGGAUGAGAAAGGAGGAGAGAAAUCCGGUUUAGCCCUAAAUGUGGGCUCAGUUGUGCCACUUAGACAGAAAUCUAUGUUGAGGAUGGGCUGAGCUGCACUGCCCCAGAAAGAGCACAAGGAGGCAGACUUCCCUUGGAAGCUCCCUUGUGCACAGGUGCAACACACAAACUGUUACACACUCCAGCAUACUCUGCUGCCUCCCCACCCCCCCACACAGUUGCUGGCCCAUUGAGAGAUGGAACUAUGACUCCAUACUCCAGGCCUCUUUGGGGAGCAUAUGGAAUACAGUUGUACUUGGCACUUAUGCAAGCUGCACAUGCUAGUUAGUGGGGGUUUAGGGGAAGGAAGAAAAGAGAGGUUCCUUGUUUCCCUAUUUCCCUGCUAUCCUUCCCCUCCCCACAAUCCACAAAUAAUCUGGUCCUGUGGUAUUUAUAUUUGGCAUUUGAAGUUAGAUUUCAUCAGCAUUAGCCUUCAAAGUACCAUCCUUAUUUUUAGAACAGCUUAAAAAUAUGUGAAAAUAUCCAUGGACCACUUUGACAUCUGAAAUCCCUCAGUAAAUGGGAAACUUCUUAUUUUCAUUGUGUGUGUGUCUCUCUCUCACACACAUACGGGAAUGUUUCAUGCUUUGAUUACUCUUCCUUUGAAUCUGAUGGGCAGUGCACAGCUAAAUAGAGGAGACAUAGGCCAAGCUUUCUGAACUGUUCAGUCCAGCUGCAGGGCGUUACAAAUGUUUUACCCCAAUCAGUAAUACUUGAAAAUGUUCCCUAUGGUGAUGAUAGUGUCCCCAACAAUCAGACUGGAAUAUUCCAUAAGGAGCUCCCCAAACUGGAUUGUUUAUCUUUUUUGUUUUUGUCUUUGUCUUUCCUAAAAUCACUUUGUCCAAACUAGUAUUUAAUUUUCAAAUGUGAAAAGCUAUGUGUGCAGAGGCCAAAUUCUAAUGUCUUGAUCCUGUAGCUGGAUAGAUGUGAGCAGAUGCAAAUGCAGGAUCAAGGCCUGUGCAUGGCUGUCCCAGUUAGCUAGGUCUUUUCUUUUUGACUAACAGGAGACAUUUACUUUGCUUUGGAUGAGUUUAUGAGCAAUGUCAAUGAAACAUGACAGCAAUUCAAUGUUUCACAUUAAAGGCUAAAAUAAAUGAAUACUAGGUAGCAGUAGUGAGCUGCAGUGUUUCUCAACUACCCGUCCACGGACUUUUGCCAGUCCUUGAAAUCUCCCUGAUGCAGGUUAGGAAGGCAUCAAGCCCAUCUCUGGUAUCAAAAAGGUUGAGAAACACUGCUAGUGCAUAAUCACCCAGUGCACAGUGAUUGUGUGCUCUGCCAUUGUGCUUGACAGACUAUUGUACUGUGUUACUUGCACAGACAGAUUCCACUCCACUUCACUGGAGGGGCUUCAUCAACUCAACCAAUUCAGCAGCUCUGGAUCUGGUACAGUCACAUAUAUCAGGCAGGGGCCAGAGAAUUUGAUUUGCCUAUCACUGGCAGGUACAUCUCUGAUUUGUUUUAGAUGAUCAACAAAAAUGCUAGCUCUGGAUGGGCCAAAGUCUCAUGGAUUUCACUGGGACUCAAUCUGGGUGAAGCUGCAAACUUUGGCACUUUCCCAUGUGACUAAUGCUUUCUGUCUUGUGUUUGUCCUUGGACCAUGCAAAGUAGGAUCAUAUGUAAUUUGCUCAUUAGCAUACUUAACUGUUCCUAACUGCACCAUGGGGCACAUGCUUCCACAUUUCCUGCAACUAGGAUUUCAGGUCCUAGACGGACUUCCAAUGAAGGUAUUCUAAAUUCUUUGAAGAGGAGAAAUACAUCUUGGUAACUUUGUACAUCACUAUGUUUUGUUUUUUCUUGUAGAGAGCUAUGAGGAUUUGGUCCAAAAGACACAACUAAUGUCUUUAAGGGAUCAACAGUGUCCAAUUAUUCUCCUGUGGACUGUCCAUAGCAGUGUCUCAGAAAUUACUAUAAUGCUACUAUUCCCACUAUAUAUCCAGUACUGAGAUCUCUUGUAUCUCCCUCAUUUCAAACUCCCCUGCAGGACCAGAUCUGAAAAUAUGUAUUUUGGUCUAUCUUAGGCAUUGCUAUGGUAUUGAUACAGUACAUGUAGUACUGUCUGAAUCUCUAAUUGUAUUUUUGCUACACAAGAGACCUGUGUCUUGAUGGAAUGAAAUGAUUUUCUGUUGCCAUAUGGCAUUCAUUCCCUGAGGUGAAAAUGAGCACAGUCAGUACCACCUGGGACAAAAUGGAAAAUGUGCAUAACUUGCUCUUGGUAGCUGUCCAGUGGAAAGUUAGUAUAAUGUCUGACCUCCUACCCAUGGCACUCUAAACGACUGUCUGCAGAUGUCAACUGCCAAGCAGCUUCUGAUUCCUAUUAUAUUGUUGUGUUAUUCCCCGAAGGGUGUCUGUUGCCAGCAUUCUUGGACAGUGGUGACUUUCAGAACUCUGUAAACUGGUCUAUCCCUAAUUUAUCAUUUUUCAUUUCUGUAUACACUUCCUAGUUCGUAUAGACUGAAAGCAGAAAUAAAU